Molecule: ribosomal RNA, 253 nt
Filed under: uncultured bacterium
Lineage: Bacteria
Description: partial 16S ribosomal RNA
Rfam family: Bacterial small subunit ribosomal RNA
Source: RNAcentral
UACAGAGGUCUCGAGCGUUGUUCGGAUUCAUUGGGCGUAAAGGGUGUGUAGGUGGCGCGCUAAGUCGGGUGUGAAAUUUCGGAGCUUAACUCCGAAACUGCAUUCGAUACUGGCGUGCUUGAGGACUGGAGAGGAGACUGGAAUUCAUGGUGUAGCAGUGAAAUGCGUAGAGAUCAUGAGGAAGACCAGUGGCGAAGGCGGGUCUCUGGACAGUUCCUGACACUGAGACACGAAGGCCAGGGGAGCAAACGGG